UCUUCUUAUUUAAGCAUCGAAACCCUGUUUUUUAAACUGUUAUGGCAUACAAAUCGCCUCGGAGUAACAGAUGUCUGCUGGAUAGAGUUGUUUCCCAGGAAAAUAACCGGCUGCUCUAUGGUCUCCAGAGGAAGGGUGGCCGUGCAAAAUGCGUGUCAUGUGGUCCAUUUGUCACCCCCUCCCCCUCCAAAGACCGAGGGGACAAUGAUGUGCCGCGGCCAUCUUCUAGCUGUCUGCAUUUACAGAUGGAGACAGAAGACAGAGGCAAGAAUCUGGCAUUGCCUGUCCCUCCCUCCUGGAGAACAGGCAUUUCUUCAAUUUCCUAGCAUCACCCUGUCAUCAUCAUGAUCAUCACCAGCAUCAUUAUCACCACCAACCUCCUCCUACUCCACCACCACCACCACCUCAUCAUCAUCACCACCAGCAUUAUUGCCGAUGUCAUGAUCCCUUUAAUACGGAGAAUUCUGGUGAUGUGAGGAUUCUGGUUCAUCCACGCUGUGAUGUUCCACUGCCUAAAGCCUGACCCCGAGCUCUAUCACUUUCUAGCUAGCCGUGUGGCCUCAGACCUACUGCAAGCCCAGAGACCAACACACAGGGGUCUGUAGGCCACUGACUGGACGGGAAAGAAGCCAGAAUGGAGAAGCUGCUGAAGGAACCACAAGUGUCCGUGUUUCCUUUUUCUGACCUGGAGGCUGGUGCUCCUCCCAUCAUUCCCUGCUUCAGUGCUGGGGACACCGGGCUUCCUCUUCUAGCAUGUGGUUUGGUGUCACCAUCCCUAGGGAAACUCUCGGUGACUUUGGAACUCAGGCUGAAUGUCAGUCUGGUUCGUUUCCAUGCUUUUAUUUGCUCGUUGCUGUUUUCAAAGCCCCUUGGAUUGUUUGUGAGUCUGAGUGAUGGCACAUCUGCCACAGUGUAGUGUGGGUGGCAGCAUCCUGCUCUCUAGUCUGUGUACAAAGAAAUGCUGCUGCUAACUACACCUGUCCAGUCUGUCUGCCUCAGCAUGGUCGCUGCUGAUGGCGUUCCAAGCGCAGACGUGAGGGAGGAGGGUGAGGCAGCCAAGGCUUUAUUCUCUCUGUGGUGUGAGCACCGAGCUGAGGAAGGGUGCUGUUGUGAAGUUCUGCUCUCAACUUUGGUUCUGUUGGAGGAAGGGAAGACCCGAGGACGGGUGUGCCAUGGAAGCAAGCGGUGGGGCAGAAGACAGAGGGAGUCGCAACCA
Mus musculus (house mouse) is the source of this 1216-nucleotide long non-coding RNA. RefSeq annotates it as predicted gene, 39092. The transcript is spliced from 3 exons. Lineage: Eukaryota; Metazoa; Chordata; Mammalia; Rodentia; Muridae. The record is from RefSeq and is a predicted model, not a curated record.